This 253-nucleotide ribosomal RNA is filed under the name uncultured bacterium. Its description in RNAcentral is "partial 16S ribosomal RNA". It matches the Rfam family "Bacterial small subunit ribosomal RNA", at positions 524 to 776 of the family's 1533-position model. The record is from RNAcentral.
UACGUAGGGCUCAAGCGUUAUCCGGAAUUAUUGGGCGUAAAGAGCUCGUAGGCGGUUUGUCGCGUCUAUCGUGAAAGUCCGAGGCUCAACCUCGGAUCUGCGGUGGGUACGGGCAGACUAGAGUGUGGUAGGGGAGACUGGAAUUCCUGGUGUAGCGGUGAAAUGCGCAGAUAUCAGGAGGAACACCGAUGGCGAAGGCAGGUCUCUGGGCCACUACUGACGCUGAGAAGCGAAAGCAUGGGGAGCGAACAGG